GCUACACAUGCAGUCGAGCGGUAGCACAGAGAGCUUGCUCUCGGGUGACGAGCGGCGGACGGGUGAGUAAUGUCUGGGAAACUGCCUGAUGGAGGGGGAUAACUACUGGAAACGGUAGCUAAUACCGCAUAACGUCGCAAGACCAAAGUGGGGGACCUUCGGGCCUCAUGCCAUCAGAUGUGCCCAGAUGGGAUUAGCUGGUAGGUGGGGUAACGGCUCACCUAGGCGACGAUCCCUAGCUGGUCUGAGAGGAUGACCAGCCACACUGGAACUGAGACACGGUCCAGACUCCUACGGGAGGCAGCAGUGGGGAAUAUUGCACAAUGGGCGCAAGCCUGAUGCAGCCAUGCCGCGUGUGUGAAGAAGGCCUUCGGGUUGUAAAGCACUUUCAGCGGGGAGGAAGGCGAUGAGGUUAAUAACCUCGUCGAUUGACGUUACCCGCAGAAGAAGCACCGGCUAACUCCGUGCCAGCAGCCGCGGUAAUACGGAGGGUGCAAGCGUUAAUCGGAAUUACUGGGCGUAAAGCGCACGCAGGCGGUCUGUCAAGUCGGAUGUGAAAUCCCCGGGCUCAACCUGGGAACUGCAUUCGAAACUGGCAGGCUAGAGUCUUGUAGAGGGGGGUAGAAUUCCAGGUGUAGCGGUGAAAUGCGUAGAGAUCUGGAGGAAUACCGGUGGCGAAGGCGGCCCCCUGGACAAAGACUGACGCUCAGGUGCGAAAGCGUGGGGAGCAAACAGGAUUAGAUACCCUGGUAGUCCACGCUGUAAACGAUGUCGAUUUGGAGGUUGUGCCCUUGAGGCGUGGCUUCCGGAGCUAACGCGUUAAAUCGACCGCCUGGGGAGUACGGCCGCAAGGUUAAAACUCAAAUGAAUUGACGGGGGCCCGCACAAGCGGUGGAGCAUGUGGUUUAAUUCGAUGCAACGCGAAGAACCUUACCUGGUCUUGACAUCCACAGAACUUUCCAGAGAUGGAUUGGUGCCUUCGGGAACUGUGAGACAGGUGCUGCAUGGCUGUCGUCAGCUCGUGUUGUGAAAUGUUGGGUUAAGUCCCGCAACGAGCGCAACCCUUAUCCUUUGUUGCCAGCGGUUAGGCCGGGAACUCAAAGGAAACUGCCAGUGAUAAACUGGAAGAAAGGGGGGGAUGACGUCAAGUCAUCAUGGCCCUUACGACCAGGG
RNAcentral lists this ribosomal RNA (1173 nucleotides) under Klebsiella variicola. RNAcentral's name for it is "bacterial SSU rRNA". It matches the Rfam family "Bacterial small subunit ribosomal RNA", at positions 48 to 1213 of the family's 1533-position model. The record is from RNAcentral. Lineage: Bacteria; Pseudomonadati; Pseudomonadota; Gammaproteobacteria; Enterobacterales; Enterobacteriaceae.